CGAAGCUUUUAAUUAACCAAACAAAUAACUGAAAUUCAACGAAUGUAAUUAACUAUCUUAAAGCAACAUAAUGUAGAAAUUGGUAUUUUGUUUAAUUUGGCGCCCCCUACAGUGUGUGAGUGUGACGCCACUGUCGUGAACACAAACAACAGGUCUGUGACAGGUUGUCAGAGGUUAUGUGGGUGCCAACUACAAACAAACCUUAUUACAUCAUAACAAUUUUACGUGUUAUGUGUGUGUUGGAGUAAACGUGUGUAAGGCUGUGAUCCCACACCUCUCACAUAGUGCAGAAACAAGUGACAGCCUGUUACAAGACACUGUGCCAUCAAAAUGAAUCUGAAGUUGUUUAAGGUAUUAAAGUUACAUAAUGUUGCUUUAACUAAAACAUUGAAUCCUCUAGAACACUAUGUACUGUAUACAUAGAAAAACAAACCCAAACAAACAAUGUUUUUCCCACUUUGUAUCUGACUUUAAUUCCAGUCGGUCAAAUGUUAUGAUGUAUUUCCAUCAGCAGUGAGGUUUCUGUGGAGGUGAGGAGCGGAUGUCAGAGGUGCGGUGAUGAAAAUGACGCGCACUUCCGCUUUAAAAGCAGCAGAGAGAGCUGCGUGGAGCUGGAGAGAGUCGCUGGGGCGACGCCGAGCCGCAGACCUGCCUCCAGCUCAGCGCUGGCACAGUGCGCAGCGCAGUGGACUACUUUAUCUGCCGUGUGUACACACACACACACACACAAACACACGCAUACACGAGGAGUCCUGUGUGCUGAGGAUUUUGAUUUUUCUUUUUUUCAAACUCUGGUUUGGACGGACGGAACUUUACGCAGGGAAAACAGCAGGUGAGUCUACGAGGCUGCACCUGAGGGACAAUAUUAUCUCCCGUCUGAAUUGGAAACCGGUUUGUUUCCUCCUCCGAACUCCACUUGUUGAUGGGGCGCGAACAGGCUCGACCAGCCUCCGCAUCACGGAGAUAGUCCUAUGCGUAAUUUGGAGGUUUCGAGGCAGAUGGUGGGGAUGUUUCGGUAACAGCCUUUCGGCAUCAGAUCGUGUUACGCAGGCUGC
RNAcentral lists this long non-coding RNA (1055 nucleotides) under Sparus aurata (gilthead seabream). RNAcentral describes it as "lncRNA (ENSSAUG00010008952.1)". Lineage: Eukaryota; Metazoa; Chordata; Actinopteri; Spariformes; Sparidae. The record is from RNAcentral.